Molecule: long non-coding RNA, 253 nt
Organism: Peromyscus eremicus (cactus mouse)
Lineage: Eukaryota; Metazoa; Chordata; Mammalia; Rodentia; Cricetidae
Exons: 2
Source: RefSeq, a predicted model, not a curated record
AGAGAGGAGGUGUGAAGAUUCAAAUUGCUUCAGGGUCUUGGCUGAGGUCGGACAGAGACUAAUUGAAGAGGCUGUGUCGGGUCCUCCAUGUGCAGCAGAUAUCCCCAGAUAAAGAAUCUGAAGUUCAAACAAUUUCAACAACUCAUGCCACCCCUCUCUCCCUGCUUCAGCAAGAAUUAGAAACUGUGUAGUUUGACUGCAGACACAAAGUACUUUCUGUUUGUGACCAAUUAAACCAAAUCUGCUAAAAUUA